Molecule: ribosomal RNA, 521 nt
Filed under: uncultured bacterium
Lineage: Bacteria
Description: bacterial SSU rRNA
Rfam family: Bacterial small subunit ribosomal RNA
Source: RNAcentral
AGAGUUUGAUUAUGGCUCAGGAUGAACGCUAGCUACAGGCUUAACACAUGCAAGUCGAGGGGCAGCAUGGGUGUAGCAAUACACCUGAUGGCGACCGGCGCACGGGUGCGUAACGCGUAUCCAACCUGCCGUGUACUCCGGGAUAGCCCUCUGAAAGGAGGAUUAAUACCGGAUGUGGUCAUUUGGAGACAUCUCUUAAUGAUUAAAGAUUUAUCGGUACACCGAUGGGGAUGCGUACGAUUAGGUAGUCGGCGGGGCAACGGCCCACCGAGCCUUCGAUCGUUAGGGGUUCUGAGAGGAAGGUCCCCCACAUAGGAACUGAGACACGGUCCUAACUCCUACGGGAGGCAGCAGUGAGGAAUAUUGGUCAAUGGGCGAGAGCCUGAACCAGCCAAGUAGCCGUGAAGGAUGACUGCCCUACGGGUUGUAAACUUCUUUUACGGGGGAAUAAGGUGCGGCACGCGUGCCGUUUUGCAUGUACCCCAUGAAUAAGCAUCGGCUAAUUCCGUGCCAGCCGCGGC